Leucoraja erinaceus (little skate) is the source of this 257-nucleotide long non-coding RNA. RefSeq lists it as uncharacterized. The transcript has 3 exons. The record is from RefSeq and is a predicted model, not a curated record. Lineage: Eukaryota; Metazoa; Chordata; Chondrichthyes; Rajiformes; Rajidae.
CAAGUGGAACAUGAAAUACUGUUCCUCCAGUUUCCAUUGAAUUCUCCAAUUAUAGACGACUGCUUUACAAGAGACUGGCGCUAACUUCAACAUUCAUGCCAAAGAGAAAAUGCAAUGAUUCAGACUUCAGGAGGCAAAAGUGAUGUAGUGGUGCCACCCCCAUCCGAGACGACUCUACGAUGACUUGGAGUAUAUGAGGGCUUGGUGACUUGGCUUGCUGCAGGCUGCCUUUCCACUGCACCUGUGAGACACACACC